GAUGAACGCUGGCGGCGUGCCUAAUACAUGCAAGUCGAGCGAACGGACGCGAAGCUUGUGUCUCUGAUGUUAGCGGCGGACGGGUGAGUAACACGUGGAUAACCUACCUAUAAGACUGGGAUAACUUCGGGAAACCGGAGCUAAUACCGGAUAAUCUUUUGCACCGCAUGGUUCAAAAGUGAAAGACGGUCUUGCUGUCACUUAUCGAUGGUUCCGCGCUGCAUUAGCUAGUUGGUAAGGUAACGGCUUACCAAGGCAACGAUGCAUAGCCGACCUGAGAGAGGGAUCGGCCACACGAGAGCUGAGACACGGUCCAGACUCCUACGGGAGGCAGCAGUAGGGAAUCGUCCGCAAUAGGCGGGAGCCUGACGGAGCAACGCCGCGUGAGUGAUGAAGGUCUUCGGAUCGGGAAGCUGUGUUAUUAGGGAAGAACAGAUGUGGAAGUAACUGUGCACAGCUUGACGGUACCUAAUCAGAAAGCCACGGCUAACUACGUG
RNAcentral lists this ribosomal RNA (497 nucleotides) under uncultured bacterium. RNAcentral's name for it is "partial 16S ribosomal RNA". It matches the Rfam family "Bacterial small subunit ribosomal RNA", at positions 28 to 507 of the family's 1533-position model. The record is from RNAcentral.